UACGGAGGGUGCAAGCGUUAUCCGGAUUCACUGGGUUUAAAGGGGGUGUAGGCGGGCUGUUAAGUCAGUGGUGAAAUCUCCGGGCUCAACCCGGAAACUGCCAUUGAUACUAUCAGUCUUGAAUAUUGUUGAGGUGGGCGGAAUAUGUCAUGUAGCGGUGAAAUGCAUAGAGAUGACAUAGAACACCGAUUGCGAAGGCAGCUCACUAAACAUGUAUUGACGCUGAGGCACGAAAGCGUGGGGAUCAAACAGG
This 253-nucleotide ribosomal RNA is filed under the name uncultured bacterium. RNAcentral describes it as "partial 16S ribosomal RNA". It matches the Rfam family "Bacterial small subunit ribosomal RNA", at positions 524 to 776 of the family's 1533-position model. The record is from RNAcentral.